Molecule: ribosomal RNA, 515 nt
Filed under: uncultured bacterium
Lineage: Bacteria
Description: partial 16S ribosomal RNA
Source: RNAcentral
GGAGUUAGCCGGUGCUUCUUCUGUGAGUGAUGUCCUUCCUGCCGGCUAUUAACCCGCAGGCCUUCUUCCUCACUGAAAGUGCUUUACAACCCGAAGGCCUUCUUCACACACGCGGCAUGGCUGGAUCAGGGUUGCCCCCAUUGUCCAAUAUUCCCCACUGCUGCCUCCCGUAGGAGUCUGGGCCGUGUCUCAGUCCCAGUGUGGCUGAUCAUCCUCUCAGACCAGCUACGGAUCGUCGCCUUGGUGAGCCGUUACCUCACCAACCAGCUAAUCCGACAUAGGCUCAUCCGAUAGCGCGAGGCCCGAAGGUCCCCCGCUUUCCCCCGUAGGGCGUAUGCGGUAUUAGCCUGGGUUUCCCCAGGUUAUCCCCCACUACCGGGCAGAUUCCUAUGCAUUACUCACCCGUCCGCCGCUCGCCACCAGGGAGCAAGCUCCCCGUGCUGCCGCUCGACUUGCAUGUGUUAGCCGUCGCCGCCGACGCGUUCUAUCUGAGCCACGAAUACGAACCCGUACGA